CUACGGGACGCUGCAGUGAGGAAUAUUGCACAAUGGGGGGAACCCUGAUGCAGCAACGCCGCGUGGAGGAUGACGCAUUUCGGUGUGUAAACUCCUUUUAUAUGUCAAGAAAAUGACGGUAGCAUAUGAAUAAGCACCGGCUAACUCCGUGCCAGCAGCCGCGGUAAUACGGAGGGUGCAAGCGUUACUCGGAAUCACUGGGCGUAAAGGACGCGUAGGCGGGUUGGAAAGUCAGGUGUGAAAUCCUACAGCUUAACUGUAGAACUGCACUUGAAACUUCUAAUCUAGAGUAUGGGAGGGGGAGAUGGAAUUAGUGGUGUAGGGGUAAAAUCCGUAGAUAUCACUAGGAAUACCUAAAGCGAAGGCGAUCUUCUGGAACAAUACUGACGCUACGGCGUGAAAGCGUAGGGAGCAAACAGGAUUAGAUACCCCGGUAGUC
RNAcentral lists this ribosomal RNA (439 nucleotides) under uncultured bacterium. RNAcentral's name for it is "partial 16S ribosomal RNA". It matches the Rfam family "Bacterial small subunit ribosomal RNA", at positions 339 to 795 of the family's 1533-position model. The record is from RNAcentral.